GGCCCGUUCGUCUAGUGGCCUAGGACGCCGCCCUCUCACGGCGGAAACAGGGGUUCGACUCCCCUACGGGCUGCCA
This 76-nucleotide transfer RNA is filed under the name Methyloceanibacter methanicus. RNAcentral's name for it is "tRNA-Glu". It matches the Rfam family "tRNA". Rfam says of the family: Transfer RNA (tRNA) molecules are approximately 80 nucleotides in length. Lineage: Bacteria; Pseudomonadati; Pseudomonadota; Alphaproteobacteria; Hyphomicrobiales; Hyphomicrobiaceae. The record is from RNAcentral. RNAcentral also lists the same sequence under 1 other name.